RNAcentral lists this long non-coding RNA (928 nucleotides) under Apteryx owenii (little spotted kiwi). Its description in RNAcentral is "lncRNA (ENSAOWG00000003491.1)". The record is from RNAcentral. Lineage: Eukaryota; Metazoa; Chordata; Aves; Apterygiformes; Apterygidae.
CUGGUUUGGGGUUUUUUUGCAGUGUCAUAUCUGAUGAGAAGGGUAAAGUAUACUUGAAUCUUCAGCUAGAAGAUCCUCUGCAGUCUGUUUAUCAGCCAUGGGAAUUCAGUUGGGAUUAAAAAUAAUCACACAUUGAGCAGUCUGAUUAAAAUUCCUAUCCCACUUAUCUUUUUUUCUAUGUGAUAAUUUUCAUUUUACUAGCUCUUCAGUAAUCGUAGUGUCUUUCAAAAGUAGCAAAAAUUGGAAUUUAUAUUUUACCAGAAGAAAUUAUGGAAAAAUAAACAUUUUCAUGUUUGUUUAUUAUUAUUUUUAAAUGAUACCUGAGAGCAUUUCUUUUCAGGUCACCUUACAUCCUCUGACAAACAAAUUAGCAUGAUUAUUUAUAUAGCGAUGUAAAUGAAUCCGGUACUGAUGAUAAGCAGAGGGACAAAAAAGUUAAGAGUGCCUGGUUUUAAGCGCUCACUUUGUAGAGACAUAAGUGGAUGUGAUACAAUGCGCAGAACAAGAAUAUAAACAGUAGGUGUAGUUUUUGAGUGCUGCAUGACAGGGGCAUUUCUGUUCAGCACUGGGAUUAGCACUUCUAUUGAAACUUAUAUAACAGACGCUUUGCCAGGGUGGUUUCUAAAAACGAUGCUCAUCAUGCUUUAGAUACCAAAAGCUUUAAGUCAAAGAAAAUAUUUUAAACUGAAGAACUUUUUUUUUUUCCCCAUUGGUUUCCUCCCGGUUCCUAAUGAGAUACUUCUGCAUAUGUAAGUCACGAGUGGCGAUGAAAAGUACUGGUUUUACAAUGAAAAGACACGGACAAGCAGCAGUGCUUUUUGAAGCGUUAUUGAUAUCUGUUUUCCUAACAAUCCCAAAAAGCCAACCGGAAGAGGUUUCAAAGAACAUAAUUCAGAAUUCUGAGGACAACCGUUUCUGUCAAUACUGA